GCAUUGAUAGCUUAAUUUUUAGAGCAUAGCACUGAAGAUGCUAAGGUGGCAAUUUAUGCCUCAAAGCA
Molecule: transfer RNA, 68 nt
Filed under: Lirabuccinum musculus
Lineage: Eukaryota; Metazoa; Mollusca; Gastropoda; Neogastropoda; Buccinidae
Description: tRNA-Phe
Rfam family: tRNA
About the family: Transfer RNA (tRNA) molecules are approximately 80 nucleotides in length. Their secondary structure includes four short double-helical elements and three loops (D, anti-codon, and T loops).
Source: RNAcentral